UGAAGAUUUAUUCAGAAAUGAAUGAUCUGAUAGAAUUCAUAACAGUUUGGCUAUUAGAAUAUGUAAUGUUAUGAUUAAUUUUUCUAAUUUCAGUAAUUGUAUUUUGUGUCAGUUAAUGAGCGACUGUCUUCAGGUAAAUGAUCUGGAGUGUGUUUGCAUAUUGAUCAGAUGCUUCAGUGCUCUGAGAGUGUUUAUAGUGCUGUGAGUUUAACACUUCAUCACUGACACACACAACAAUCUUCAUCAACAUGACCUUCAUCAUCAUCUUCAUCUGGACUCUCACAGCGUUUGCUCAAGAGUGUAGAGGACAGAUCACCGUCACUCAGAGUCCCUCAACGACAGCAGCUCGACCAGAAGAAACAGUCAGAAUCAACUGUAGAACCAGCACAGAUGUGUACAGAUGGAGUGACGGGGAUGAAGGUUUAUUCUGGUACUUACAGAAACCUGGAGAAGCUCCUAAACUCCUGAUUUAUAAAGCAAACACCCUCCAGUCAGGAACUCCAUCUAGAUUCAGUGGCAGUGGAUCUAACAGUGAUUUCACUCUGACCAUCAGUGGAGUCCAGACUGAAGAUGCUGGACAUUAUUACUGUCUGAGUUUACACAGUGGUCCAGUGUUCACACAGUGAUCAAGUCGUACAAAAACCUCCGUCAGUCAGAGUCACAGAGACUGAACUGAUCCUGCAGCUGCUCAAACACUAUCACUCACUACUGACACACAGAGACAAACACAGCAACUACACAUGAGCUCAGAACUGAGUUAGGAGUCAAAUCAGCUCCAUUAGACUGAGAUCUGUCCUGUGACAGACGGGUUUGACUCAGUUAUGCUCAGAAUCAGAGAAAACAGAGCGUGUAA
Non-coding RNA from Onychostoma macrolepis, 853 nucleotides. The record is from the annotation of a RefSeq genome assembly. NCBI's taxonomy places the organism in Eukaryota, Metazoa, Chordata, Actinopteri, Cypriniformes, Cyprinidae.